This 301-nucleotide ribosomal RNA is filed under the name uncultured bacterium. RNAcentral describes it as "partial 16S ribosomal RNA". It matches the Rfam family "Bacterial small subunit ribosomal RNA", at positions 509 to 808 of the family's 1533-position model. The record is from RNAcentral.
CAGUAGCCGCGGGAAUACGUAGGUCCCGAGCGUUGUCCGGAUUUAUUGGGCGUAAAGCGAGCGCAGGCGGUUAGAUAAGUCUGAAGUUAAAGGCUGUGGCUUAACCAUAGUACGCUUUGGAAACUGUUUAACUUGAGUGCAAGAGGGGAGAGUGGAAUUCCAUGUGUAGCGGUGAAAUGCGUAGAUAUAUGGAGGAACACCGGUGGCGAAAACGGCUCUCUGGCUUGUAACUGACGCUGAGGCUCGAAAGCGUGGGGAGCAAACAGGAUUAGAUACCCCGGUAGUCCCUGUCUCUUAUACA